GGGAAAGAGGAGAGGCACCUGAUAGAUGUCCUCCAGGCCUUUCAGAAAAUAUUGAGUUGCUCUUAUAAGAAAGGUAAUAUUGUAGACAUCAAGGGAAUGGGUACUGUCCAAAAAGGAAGGCCCCACAAGUGUUACCAUGGCAAAACUGGAAGAGUCUACAAUACUACCCAGCAUGCUGUUGGCAUUUUUGUAAAUAAACAAGGUAGGGGCAAGAUUCUUGCCAAGAGAAUUGAUGUGUAGAUUGUGCACGUUAAGCACUCUGAGAGUCAAGAUAGCUUCCUGAAAUGUGUGAAGGAAAAUGAUCAGAAAAACAAGGAAGCCAAAGAGAAAGGUACCUGGGUUUGACUGAAGCGCCAGCCUGCUCCAUUAGAGAACACUGUGUAAGAACCAAUGGGAAGGAGCCUGAGCUGCUGGAACCUCUUCCCUCUGGAGUCAUUGCAUAA
This 443-nucleotide long non-coding RNA is filed under the name Homo sapiens (human). RNAcentral describes it as "non-protein coding lnc-FEZ2-8:1". The record is from RNAcentral. Lineage: Eukaryota; Metazoa; Chordata; Mammalia; Primates; Hominidae.